AACAUGUCUGUUGGUGAACCCUUUA
This 25-nucleotide non-coding RNA is filed under the name Mus musculus (house mouse). Lineage: Eukaryota; Metazoa; Chordata; Mammalia; Rodentia; Muridae. The record is from RNAcentral.